CCUACGGGUGGCAGCAGUAGGGAAUUUUGCGCAAUGGGGGAAACCCUGACGCAGCAACACCGCGUGAAUGUUAAGCCCUUCGGGGUGUAAAGUUCUGUCAAUAGGGACGAAUUUUGACUGUACCUAUAAAGGAAGCACCGGCUAACUCCGUGCCAGCAGCCGCGGUAAUACGGGGGGUGCAAGCGUUGUCCGGAAUCAUUGGGCGUAAAGCGUUCGUAGGCGGGAUGUCAAGUCUGAUGUAAAAGCCCGGGGCUCAACCCCGGCGAGCCGUUGAAACUGGCCGUCUUGAGAUGGCGAGAGGUAUGCGGAAUGCGCGGUGUAGCGGUGAAAUGCUUAGAUAUUGCGCAGAACUCCGAUUGCGAAGGCAGCAUACCGGCGGCGUACUGACGCUGAGGCACGAAAGCGUGGGUAUCGAACAGGAUUAGAUACCCCAGUAGUC
This 439-nucleotide ribosomal RNA is filed under the name uncultured bacterium. RNAcentral describes it as "partial 16S ribosomal RNA". It matches the Rfam family "Bacterial small subunit ribosomal RNA", at positions 338 to 795 of the family's 1533-position model. The record is from RNAcentral.